UUUGCAUGUAGAGAGCUUUCUUUAGUCCACAUAUAGGAGGCAGUAUGGUUCAAUUAGCUUCUGACUCAUUCACACAAAUGCUAAGGUUUUGAGAGUCAAAGAAAGAAGGCCUUGGCAGCUGAGCGAAUGAAGCAGUAGACUGACUGAAUCUUAAGCUUCUUCUGCUUGGACUGAAGGGAGCUCCCUCCUCAUAAUUA
RNAcentral lists this microRNA precursor (197 nucleotides) under Capsicum annuum. RNAcentral's name for it is "MIR159 microRNA precursor family". It matches the Rfam family "MIR159 microRNA precursor family". The record is from Rfam by way of RNAcentral. Lineage: Eukaryota; Viridiplantae; Streptophyta; Magnoliopsida; Solanales; Solanaceae.